UUUUCUGGAAACAGAGAAGUGCUUUAGCAAUAAAGAACCCGGUGACAGGUGCUGCAUGGCUGUCGUCAGCUCGUGUCGUGAGAUGUUGGGUUAAGUCCCGGCAACGAGCGCAACCCUCGCCUUUAGUUGCCAGCAUUCAGUUGGGCACUCUAGAGGGACUGCCGGUGUCAAACCGGAGGAAGGUGGGAUGACGUCAAGUCCUCAUGGCCUUUAUGUCUAGGGCUACACACGUACUACAAUGGCCGGUACAAAGGGCAGCCACUCAGCGAUGAGGCGCUAAUCCCAUAAAGCCGGUCUCAGUCCGGAUCGCAGUCUGCAACUCGACUGCGUGAAGUUGGAAUCGCUAGUAAUCGUAGAUCAGCAUGCUACGGUGAAUACGUUCCCGGGCCUU
Molecule: ribosomal RNA, 391 nt
Filed under: uncultured Desulfovibrio sp.
Lineage: Bacteria; Pseudomonadati; Thermodesulfobacteriota; Desulfovibrionia; Desulfovibrionales; Desulfovibrionaceae
Description: bacterial SSU rRNA
Rfam family: Bacterial small subunit ribosomal RNA
Source: RNAcentral